This 497-nucleotide ribosomal RNA is filed under the name uncultured bacterium. RNAcentral describes it as "partial 16S ribosomal RNA". It matches the Rfam family "Bacterial small subunit ribosomal RNA", at positions 28 to 507 of the family's 1533-position model. The record is from RNAcentral.
GACGAACGCUGGCGGCGUGCCUAAUACAUGCAAGUAGAACGCUGAAGAGAGGAGCUUACUCUUCUUGGAUGAGUUGCGAACGGGUGAGUAACGCGUAGGUAACCUGCCUUGUAGCGGGGGAUAACUAUUGGAAACGAUAGCUAAUACCGCAUAACAAUGGAUGACACAUGUCAUUUAUUUGAAAGGGGCAAUUGCUCCACUACAAGAUGGACCUGCGUUGUAUCAGCUAGUAGGUGAGGUAAUGGCUCACCUAGGCGACGAUACAUAGCCUACCUGAGAGGGUGAUCGGCCACACUGGGACUGAGACACGGCCCAGACUCCUACGGGAGGCAGCAGUAGGGAAUCUUCGGCAAUGGGGGCAACCCUGACCGAGCAACGCCGCGUGAGUGAAGAAGGUUUUCGGAUCGUAAAGCUCUGUUGUAAGUCAAGAACGGGUGUGAGAGUGGAAAGUUCACACUGUGACGGUAGCUUACCAGAAAGGGACGGCUAACUACGUG